AGGGGCGUAGCUCAGGUGGCUAGAGCGCUUCCCUGACACGGAAGAGGUCAACAGUUCAAGUCUGUUCGUCCCUACCA
Molecule: transfer RNA, 77 nt
Filed under: Desulfovibrio sp.
Lineage: Bacteria; Pseudomonadati; Thermodesulfobacteriota; Desulfovibrionia; Desulfovibrionales; Desulfovibrionaceae
Also listed under: 2 other names
Description: tRNA-Val
Rfam family: tRNA
About the family: Transfer RNA (tRNA) molecules are approximately 80 nucleotides in length. Their secondary structure includes four short double-helical elements and three loops (D, anti-codon, and T loops). Further hydrogen bonds mediate the characteristic L-shaped molecular structure. tRNAs have two regions of fundamental functional importance: the anti-codon, which is responsible for specific mRNA codon recognition, and the 3' end, to which the tRNAs corresponding amino acid is attached (by aminoacyl-tRNA synthetases). tRNAs cope with the degeneracy of the genetic code in two manners: having more than one tRNA (with a specific anti-codon) for a particular amino acid; and 'wobble' base-pairing, i.e. permitting non-standard base-pairing at the 3rd anti-codon position.
Source: RNAcentral